This 496-nucleotide ribosomal RNA is filed under the name uncultured bacterium. RNAcentral describes it as "partial 16S ribosomal RNA". It matches the Rfam family "Bacterial small subunit ribosomal RNA", at positions 29 to 507 of the family's 1533-position model. The record is from RNAcentral.
AUGAACGCUGGCGGCGUGCCUAAUACAUGCAAGUCGCGCGAACAGACGAGGAGCUUGCUCCUCUGACGUUAGCGGCGGACGGGUGAGUAACACGUGGAUAACCUACCUAUAAGACUGGGAUAACUUCGGGAAACCGGAGCUAAUACCGGAUAAUAUAUUGAACCGCAUGGUUCAAUAGUGAAAGACGGUUUUGCUGUCACUUAUAGAUGGAUCCGCGCCGCAUUAGCUAGUUGGUAAGGUAACGGCUUACCAAGGCAACGAUGCGUAGCCGACCUGAGAGGGUGAUCGGCCACACUGGAACUGAGACACGGUCCAGACUCCUACGGGAGGCAGCAGUAGGGAAUCUUCCGCAAUGGGCGAAAGCCUGACGGAGCAACGCCGCGUGAGUGAUGAAGGUCUUCGGACCGUAAAACUCUGUUAUUAGGGAAGAACAAAUGUGUAAGUAACUAUGCACGUCUUGACGGUACCUAAUCAGAAAGCCACGGCUAACUACGUG